Cinara cedri is the source of this 317-nucleotide non-coding RNA. The record is from the annotation of a GenBank genome assembly. NCBI's taxonomy places the organism in Eukaryota, Metazoa, Arthropoda, Insecta, Hemiptera, Aphididae.
GCUCAGUUAUACAAUCAUAAAUUUAUAAUUUGAUAUAUUAAUGACAAUUCAAUUGUUUUUUUAAUAAACACAUUAUCAUAUAAUCAAAAUAUUUGUAUGCACAUAUUUACUUUCAUAUAAUACAUUUUUGUUAUGCAUAUGUAAAUAUGGUCAUAUUCUACAAUGAUUUUGCAUAAAAUUUGGGUCCUAGUUUUUAUAUUGAUAUUACUAUGAGCACUUAAAAUUUUACUAUCAUUUUAGGUCAGAACUGUGAAACAUCUAUUUCAAAUUUAAUGAUACAGUCUAAUCAAAAUUGUUGUCCUGCAGUUAUGCAAAAU